UAAGAUAAUUUUCUCUACUCAUUAUCUU
This 28-nucleotide small RNA is filed under the name Bombyx mori (domestic silkworm). RNAcentral's name for it is "ovarian small RNA-19180". The record is from RNAcentral. Lineage: Eukaryota; Metazoa; Arthropoda; Insecta; Lepidoptera; Bombycidae.